RNAcentral lists this long non-coding RNA (1263 nucleotides) under Prunus dulcis (almond). RNAcentral describes it as "sRNA ncRNA". The record is from RNAcentral. Lineage: Eukaryota; Viridiplantae; Streptophyta; Magnoliopsida; Rosales; Rosaceae.
GUCAGAAACCGCGUACAUAAAAAGCGUGCACUUCGAAUGCUUACUCUCUCUGCUCCAGUUCAGAGGUACGCGCUUCUUCAUCCUCGGUCUUCCCAUACUGAAAAUUUACUAAUUGCGACCUCAUUUUUCGUAAUCUUCUUUCGAAUUUGAUAUACUGUUCCUAUUUUCUUUGGUUGAAUGCUUGUGUUUUGCCGCGUUUUGUUUGCUUGAUUACUGAUAAAAUGCCGCAAAGAAAACGAACCCAAUUUUUCUUAGUUCCAAUAUGAAGUGAUGAAGUCCAGCAAAGUAUGUGUAGCGAAAUUUGAAUCUAGUAGUGGUUGCUAUUUGAAUUGUAAAUAGAAAUCCAUGUCUCACUAUCCAGAAAUUAUCCAAAUUCUGUUUUGUAUUGUGUCUUUGUAUAUGAGUUUAUGUGGAAACUUUGUCUACAACUCUGGCUUCAAGAAUUAUAUGUCCAUUUUUUCGUUUUUGGAAAGAUUUUUAAACGCUAAAUGUUGAAUUCAUAAGUUUAGUUUCUCUGUUCUCUCACUGCAUUCAUACUAUGACACACAAUCUUUACAUCAUUUGAAGGAGGAGAUGAAUUUGCCCAUGCUUUAUUUUUUUCCUUUCUAAUGGAUUGUCCAGUGGAUGGUGAGGAGGGGAAGGCGGGGAAGCAAAUGUUAAGCCCCUGCAAUCUGUAUUGUCAAUGAUACAAUCCAUAGUUUCCAAACAUUAGUAUUUAGAUUAGCGAGCUAAAGUAGGAAGAGAUCCAGUUUGCACCGUAUACUAUUUUAGAAUAUGAAUACCUCUUCCUCUUACCCCUCUGUUUUAUAACAAAAAAUACUAUAUUAUGCAGGAACCACCAACAGCAAUCAAAAUGUGUCGAUACCAAGAUUGGGAAGAUGACCAACCAGAUAGUGAAGUUCAUGAUGAAUAUCCUGGCAGAGAUGCAGUGACUGCUUUUAUACGCCAAAUUGAACAAUUAGAGGAUUUUUGGACAACAUGAAAGGUGAUAGUUCCAAAAAGCCAAACAAAUUUUGGUCUGGAUUCUUGUCAGGCAUCUGUUUCACCAUACUGCUCAACUAUGUGAUCAAGUACGUAACUAGUAACUCGUAACUAGUUAGGGUUGAUUUUGUAUAGCAAUUUGACAUCCCAGACCUUAUUCAGGUUCAGUGCACUUCUAAUGGCAUUUGUGUUCAGUUCUAUUCAUGUUGUGAAGAAACUCCUGUGGUUGUGGAUGUUUUGACUUGUGCAAUUUAUUUGGCUGCUUUAUGGCACCUAUCUCCC